This 511-nucleotide ribosomal RNA is filed under the name uncultured bacterium. Its description in RNAcentral is "bacterial SSU rRNA". It matches the Rfam family "Bacterial small subunit ribosomal RNA", at positions 16 to 507 of the family's 1533-position model. The record is from RNAcentral.
AUCCUGGCUCAGGAUGAACGCUGGCGGCGUGCUUAACACAUGCAGGUCGAACGAAGUAAUUUAGCGGAAGUUUUCGGAUGGAAGCUGGAUUGACUGAGUGGCGGACGGGUGAGUAACGCGUGGGUAACCUGCCUUAUACCGGGGGAUAACACUUAGAAAUAGGUGCUAAUACCGCAUAAGCGCACGGUGUCGCAUGACACAGUGUGAAAAACUCCGGUGGUAUAAGAUGGACCCGCGUCUGAUUAGCCAGUUGGCAGGGUAACGGCCUACCAAAGCGACGAUCAGUAGCCGGCCUGAGAGGGUGAACGGCCACAUUGGGACUGAGACACGGCCCAAACUCCUACGGGAGGCAGCAGUGAGGAAUAUUGGUCAAUGGACGAGAGUCUGAACCAGCCAAGUAGCGUGCAGGAUGACGGCCCUAUGGGUUGUAAACUGCUUUUAUAAGGGAAUAAAGUGGGAGUCGUGACUCUUUUUGCAUGUACCUUAUGAAUAAGGACCGGCUAAUUCCGUG